RNAcentral lists this long non-coding RNA (571 nucleotides) under Drosophila melanogaster (fruit fly). Its description in RNAcentral is "flamenco (Dmel_CR46037)". Lineage: Eukaryota; Metazoa; Arthropoda; Insecta; Diptera; Drosophilidae. The record is from RNAcentral.
AGUUGCUUUAUGACGCCGGGCGCGUGCGCAUUUAAAACAAUUCUCGAAAGAAAUGUUCACAAAUUAGUUUAAAUUCGAAAACGUUUCGGUAUGGACGCAAGAAAAAGGAAUUCUAAGAAAUAGAAAUUCUAAGCGAAACAACAACGAAAAAGGAAAAUAAUUUAAAUAGGGAUAAUAAUAUACAAAAACAUAACAACAAAAACACAACGGUAUUAAGGAAUCUGUUUCAGAAUUUCAGUGAGUUAAAUCUGUUAAAAAGUUCUGCGGUUAAUUUGUUUGUUUCUUUAACAAAAAACGUAAUCUAAUAUUUUAAUUAUUAUCAUCAGCUCAGCAGCAGUGUAGAAUAUAUUGGCCUAAAAUACUAGAUAUUUUAUGUUAAUAUAUUAAAUUCGAGUGACUUACGUCACCCAAGAUUUUGUACAUUUUCAAGCGAGCAUUGGACUGGGUGUUAAUUAUUUCUAUGCCGGUUUGCUGCAAGUAUUUGUUGUCAUUGAUCAAUUAGCUUCCUAGCUUUCAAGCGAACGGUCGUGUUUUUUUUUUUAUCAUGCUCUCCAUUUCCUAUGUCCUGUAG